RNAcentral lists this small RNA (1910 nucleotides) under Histoplasma capsulatum. RNAcentral's name for it is "hypothetical RNA". Lineage: Eukaryota; Fungi; Ascomycota; Eurotiomycetes; Onygenales; Ajellomycetaceae. RNAcentral also lists the same sequence under 1 other name. The record is from RNAcentral.
CUUGCAAUUGAGAACUCCAAUUCCUUGCCGAAUUUCCAAUACUUGCUUGCGGUUCGUGAUCCACACACUAACAUAGCAAGUUUUUGGAAACAAACAGACACUAAUCGGCCGAGAGCCUCUUCGAGAGGUUUACUCGUGAGUCAUGGCCAAGUACAAGGAUUCUGUCAAUAUCCUACUCAAGUUUCCAUCCAGGUUGCUGUCAAGUUGGGUUUAAAGCAAAGCAUUAUCAUUUUUGGUUCAGUGCCACAGGUAGACUCAGAAACCAUGAUCGUCGCGCCAACUGGCAUUUCAGGCAUUGAAAUCACACACAAAGAAGAUUGCAAUGACCAGGCUAAAAUUCUUUGCUGUUUUUGAUGUCCUUUCAGGGUUUAUGUCUACAUCACCACUAGCCUCAAUGAGGUAGAUCCGUUAUAACUCACACCCGUCAAACAUAUGUCCACUCUUAAGUUGAUUUUUUGGGGCAGGCUUGAGUGGUUACUUGUAUGUGCGCAUUCAUUCUGCACCAGCUUCUUCAGGUGCCUUUUCAUCAAUUCAUAAUCGAUGGAGUUUGGCUUCCCCAUAACAACUUCUACUCCUCCUCUGACAUCAAAUGCGACCACAAGAAAAGGGGAUGAGAACAAGAGAAAUCUGUGUGGGAAUACUGCGUCCAGCAGUCGAUGCCCAACUUUUCCAAUAUGAUAUGAAUAUUGAAUCACGCGAAGGCGUCUUGAUCCGAAGUACUAUGUUUCCCGCUCUUUGCUUAUGUCCUCCCGUCUUAUUUUUCUACUUCCACAGUCAAUGUUCAUGAAAAAUGUUUAUCCCUAGUUAGGUACUUGUCUGUAAUAAUGACCAAUUGGCAGCGGCAAAGCAUAGAAUGGUGCGGAAAUUAUCCCUUCAGAAAUUCUCUGGCUAUUCAGAACUUCGCCGUCUUGAAGGUUUCUUAUGAACUUCGGCCCGAAACGUGCGGAAUUCCUAUUCCACUCUUCAAAAAGCAGUCCUGGCUAAGCUCGCGUAACAUGUAUAAUUGUGUCCAUGGCCUAGUGGCCAAAAGCCCACAUCCUCUCCACAAUAUCUAAAUCUAAAUGUAAAUGUAAACGGUAUCUAUUUUAUCCUAAUGUACAGCGCAUACAUACCCUCCGACACCCCACUCUUUCUUCUCACAGCCUCAAAAUCUCACCAUUCGCCCCAACUCCCCCACGGAAAUGAUCAGAAAUAACCCGACCCUCCAACACCGUCUCCUGAACAAUCCCUUCAACAUGUCUCGGCUCAACCCUUCCAUACCAAAUGCCUUUCCCAGCCAGCGACACCGGCCCGCCCUCCCCGCUUCCCGCCGACGACAUCGACGGCGGAAGGUAAAUAAUAACGUUCCCCGCGUACUUGUGCCCUCCGAUGUGACUUAUCAACCCCACAUUCGCCCAGCCAGCAACAUCCGUAAACGCACCAUCGCCAUUCUCCUCCCCGCCACUUACUCUAAACCCUUUCGCCCGCAGGACGCGCCGGAACUCAGUCUGCAGAAGGGGUCCCAUAAUCCCACACCGCUGAUCGCGGUGGCCGUGUCCGCAUAUCAGGAUGGUGGGGGAGUGUCGUAUCCGCGCCAUAUCUGGGAAGAAAGAGUGUUGGAGAGUGGGGACCCGGCGCAUGCACUCUUUUUGUGAGGCCGGGAGCGGGUCGUGGGCUGGGUGGAGGGUUGUGGGUAGAAGAAAGCCGCGUACAAAGGCAUCUAGGCCGGCUUCGUCGAGAGGAGUUUUGGGUAUGUACCGGAAUGAGGGAAAGAGAAGGGCGGAAGCAGUAGUGGCUGCCCCGGUCCCGGUUGAGUGCUGAGGUUGGAAUGAGGUGUUUGUAAUCAUGAUGUUGUUGUAUGGCUAUGAUUUUCCCUCCGCAAAUUCAAGUUAGCGUCAGCUCUUAGAAAUAAUAUAUUCAUUUUGUCAGGG